This 70-nucleotide transfer RNA is filed under the name Alatina alata. Its description in RNAcentral is "tRNA-Met". It matches the Rfam family "tRNA". Rfam says of the family: Transfer RNA (tRNA) molecules are approximately 80 nucleotides in length. Their secondary structure includes four short double-helical elements and three loops (D, anti-codon, and T loops). The record is from RNAcentral. Lineage: Eukaryota; Metazoa; Cnidaria; Cubozoa; Carybdeida; Alatinidae.
AGUAGGGAUAACAACUGGAAGUUACUAGACUCAUUAUCUAGGAAAGAGAGUUCGAGUCUCUCCUCUACAA